UUGUUACAAAGUUCAGCUGGAGACUUCCUUCUCCCUGUGACAUUUUCCCUGCACCUCUGGCUGCCCUCCGGAAGGAUCCCUGUGGUGCUAUGCAGGAAUGGCCUACUCAGAGAUCCAGGAAACUCCCAGGGCCUUUCCCGCUGCUUCCUCUACCCCUUUAUUUCACUCAGCUCUCUAACUUGACUCAGCAUCAGAGACAUCACCCAGGCUGGAGUGCAGUGGUGCAAUCAUAGCUUCCUGUAACCUCAAACUCCUGGGCUCAAGUGAGCUUCCACCUCAGCCUCCUGAGUAGCUGAAAUUACAGGCCUGAGCCAGCAUGUCUGGGUAAAAAUUAUAAUGUCUGUCUCUCUGUCUAGCUAUACAUUCAUACAGCUUCCCAGUAUUCUAUUGUAUGGAAAUACAGUACCUUAAUUUCUUUAUUUAACAUUUGCAUUGCUUCUAACUUUUGUGUUACAAAUAAUAGUGAAUAAAUAAUCUUGUACAUCUAUCAUUUUGAAGGUGUACAAAUACAUCUGUAGGAUAAAUUCCAAAAGUGAAGUUGCUGGAUCAAACACAUAUGCAUUUUAAGUUUUGACAAAUACUGCCAAAUUGAUACUGUAUGAGACCAAAAAUAACUUUUUUUCUGUUUUUUUUUUCCUACCCAUUUUAUGUUCAUGGCUGAGGUCCCUAUUACAAAAGACAGAUUAACAAGAGAAAAGCAUACAAGUUCAUUUAAUUUAAGUUUUAGGAGACACUAGAGCUUUCAUAAAGAUAUGAAGACCCAAAGAAGGUAAACCUGAGUAUCUUUAUGCUAGGCUUGAUGAAGAAUGGACAGUUGUGGAGAAAUAUGAUAAGGUAAAAAAUAAUAUGAUCUAUUGAUAAUAAAGUGGGGAAAUGUAGAAAGGCCUUUCUGUUCCUUUGUCUUUGGAGAAAGGGAUGUUUCUUUCCUUUGGGUAGAGGGAUGGCACCUCUCACAUGAGAAUCUUAUGACCUGCUUUAGGGGAGAGGGGUAGGGGGAAGGUCAGAGUGACCUCCCUGCAUCUGCUGUUUUAUCAAAUUCAUUCAGCUUAAAAUAUUCAACACCAAGAUGCCAUAUUUUGGGAUGGCAUGUCCAGAAAAUUAUUACUCUUCAUGGGGACUGCACAAAUUUGCAUGUCCGUCUACCUCUGAUGGAUGAGUGACUGUUUCCCCACCUCUCACCAUGCAGGGUAUAUUACUAAACAUUUAUAUUUUUGCCAAUAUCUUAAAUAAAAAUUGAUGUAUCAAUUUAGGUUGCUCAUCUUUUCAUGUUAACGGCUAUUUGCAUUUCCUUUUUUGUGAACAAUCUGUUCAGAUUUGUUGCCUAUUUUUCCAUUAGAUUGAUUUUUUUUCCCUUCUCAGUUUGUGGGAACUCUUUGUAUGUUAGCAAGAUUAGCUUUGUAUGUUACAUAAGUGGCAGAUACUUUUCUCAAUUUAUUUGUCUUUUGACUUUGCUUAUUAUUAUUUUGCUACAUAAUAUGGAUAUAUUAUUUCUGUAUGUGUAAAAUUUAUCAAUGUUUUAUUUCAUGGCACUAUGGACUUAUUUUAAUGUAAAGCUUAAAAAUGUGAA
Long non-coding RNA from Homo sapiens (human), 1567 nucleotides. The record is from Ensembl. Lineage: Eukaryota; Metazoa; Chordata; Mammalia; Primates; Hominidae.